CCCUAGUGACCGAUAGUGAACCAGUACCGUGAGGGAAAGGUGAAAAGCACCCCGGCAGGGGAGUGAAACAGUUCCUGAAACCGUGUGCCUACAAGUAGUUAGAGCCCGUUAAUGGGUGAUAGCGUGCCUUUUGUAGAAUGAACCGGCGAGUUACGAUUUGUUGCAAGGUUAAGCGGAAAAAGCGGAGCCGUAGCGAAAGCGAGUCUGAAUAGGGCGCAUAAGUAACAGGUCGUAGACCCGAAACCAGGUGAUCUACCCAUGUCCAGGAUGAAGGUAAGGUAAUACUUACUGGAGGUCCGAACCCACGCACGUGGAAAAGUGCGGGGAUGAGGUGUGGGUAGCGGAGAAAUUCCAAUCGAACUUGGAGAUAGCUGGUUCUCUCCGAAAUAGCUUUAGGGCUAGCCGCGAGGUAAAGAGUCAUGGAGGUAGAGCACUGUUUGGACUAGGGGCCCUUCUCGGGUUACCGAAUUCAGAUAAACUCCGAAUGCCAUGUACUUAUACUCGGGAGUCAGACUGCGAGUGAUAAGAUCCGUAGUCGAAAGGGAAACAGCCCAGACCACCAGUUAAGGUCCCCA
Molecule: ribosomal RNA, 575 nt
Filed under: Listeria monocytogenes
Lineage: Bacteria; Bacillati; Bacillota; Bacilli; Caryophanales; Listeriaceae
Description: bacterial LSU rRNA
Rfam family: Bacterial large subunit ribosomal RNA
Source: RNAcentral